This 441-nucleotide ribosomal RNA is filed under the name uncultured bacterium. Its description in RNAcentral is "bacterial SSU rRNA". It matches the Rfam family "Bacterial small subunit ribosomal RNA", at positions 958 to 1398 of the family's 1533-position model. The record is from RNAcentral.
AACGCGAAGAACCUUACCUACCCUUGACAUCCUUAGAAUGCUUAAGAGAUUAGGCAGUGCCGCAAGGAGCUAAGAGACAGGUGCUGCAUGGCUGUCGUCAGCUCGUGUCGUGAGAUGUUGGGUUAAGUCCCGUAACGAGCGCAACCCCUAUGCUUAGUUGCUAACGUGUAAAGGCGAGCACUCUAAGCAGACUGCCGGUGAUAAACCGGAGGAAGGCGGGGAUGAUGUCAAGUCAUCAUGGCCCUUAUGGGUAGGGCUACACACGUGCUACAAUGGUAGGUACAGAGGGUAACUGAAGCCGCGAGGUGGAAGCAAUCCCAGAAAGCCUGCCUUAGUUCGGAUUGGAGUCUGCAACUCGACUCCAUGAAGCUGGAAUCGCUAGUAAUCGCGAAUCAGAAUGUCGCGGUGAAUACGUUCCCGGGCCUUGUACACACCGUCGUC